This 587-nucleotide ribosomal RNA is filed under the name uncultured bacterium. RNAcentral describes it as "bacterial SSU rRNA". It matches the Rfam family "Bacterial small subunit ribosomal RNA", at positions 338 to 916 of the family's 1533-position model. The record is from RNAcentral.
CCUACGGGAGGCAGCAGUAGGGAAUCUUCCACAAUGGACGAAAGUCUGAUGGAGCAACGCCGCGUGAGCGAUGAAGGCCUUCGGGUCGUAAAGCUCUGUUGUCAGGGAAGAACAAGUACCGGAGUAACUGCCGGUGCCUUGACGGUACCUGACCAGAAAGCCACGGCUAACUACGUGCCAGCAGCCGCGGUAAUACGUAGGUGGCAAGCGUUGUCCGGAAUUAUUGGGCGUAAAGCGCGCGCAGGCGGUUCCUUAAGUCUGAUGUGAAAGCCCCCGGCUCAACCGGGGAGGGUCAUUGGAAACUGGGGAACUUGAGUGCAGAAGAGGAGAGCGGAAUUCCACGUGUAGCGGUGAAAUGCGUAGAGAUGUGGAGGAACACCAGUGGCGAAGGCGGCUCUCUGGUCUGUAACUGACGCUGAGGCGCGAAAGCGUGGGGAGCGAACAGGAUUAGAUACCCUGGUAGUCCACGCCGUAAACGAUGAGUGCUAAGUGUUAGAGGGUUUCCGCCCUUUAGUGCUGCAGCAAACGCAUUAAGCACUCCGCCUGGGGAGUACGGCCGCAAGGCUGAAACUUAAAGGAAUUGACGG